ACUGCGCUUGUCGCUUCGGUUGUAUUUUAAUUCGAUUAAACUGUGAAAACACACGUUGUAAGGUUUUUCUUUCAGUUUUGGCUGUUACAGUCCAUCUGACAGUAAAGAAAAAUUGAUAACACGAAACGUCAACACGCGUCAGAAAGCAGUUAUAAAAGUUGGCAACAGUAAAAAAAAAAAAAAAAAAAAAGGAAUAACUUAUUUUCUUGCACCACACCGACAAUGUCACACACCUUUGUCCACAAGCCGCAGUACAUACUAGGCUGAAUAGAAACAACGAAGUUAACAGUACCAGUCGGAGCAGAAACAGCAGCAAUGCAUCCACUGACGUUUCUAGUUUGGGCACGACAAAUAGAAAAUAAAAAACCUCUUCCAGCAACAUCAAAACCACAGGCUGCAGUGAACCAAAAAGGACAACCCGUACAGACACGACACACGGUGCAGCAGAAGUCACCAAAUAAAGCACAAAGUGUAGAAGCAGAAGCUGAGCUGACCGCUUUGGAGAUCCCCAAAAAGAGAAGGUCCACAGGCCAAGUGUCCAUUACCUCAAGUACUGUAGCUGAAAAGUAACAAACCUGGAACUUCAUCUGCUGCUCAAGAAUAAAUUGUUUGACUGAUGUCUGAUGUCAUUUUCUGUUAACGUCUAGAAAAGUGUGUUUAUAUUUGCCAUAAAUGCUUAUGGGACCUGUUGAAUGUGCAAGUUUAUAAAUAAUAAUAAUAAUAAUAAUAAUAAUAAUAAUAAUAAUAAUAAUAAUAAUAAUAAUAAUAAUAAGUGAUACAAGUUAGUUUAUGAAACUGCAUUUGCUCCUGAUUUUCACAUUUCUUAAAGUAGGUGUUUUAAGAAUACAUUUAAUUCUUUUCUGACGUGGAUUAAUUUGUAGUUACGUAUUUUAAAAAUAUAAUUUUAAAACUGUAAAAUGCAAUGCAUAUUUGGAUGCAUUGUGUAAAACAUGCUAUAUAUGAACAAAAAUCUGUGCUUGCAUUUCUUGUUUGUGCACCUGCCACCUUUUGACAUUGGACUCUUGUACAAAUAUACUUGUGGUAUGUGGUAUUUUCUUAGAAAGAAUGCAGUAAAACAUAAACUAUAUUACGCUAAGGAAUCCAUGAUGUAAUGGCUAUGUGGUUGACUCCCAUUAGUUGGUAAGUAAAGUAACAGCCCUAGCUCUCUGUCAGAACUAUGCAUGACCUUCUAAGAAAUCUAUUCUAAAUCUUACUCCUUUCUAUUUAGAUGACUCUUCGACAUUCAUUUUCUUUAGAUUUAUGGUGUCUUUAAAAGCCAUUAUUAUACCAAGACUUGCAAAAGAUAUUCAUUAGCAGGGGUGUGUUAAGAGUAUCAGAACGUCUUUAUUCUUGAACUCUGGCUUGUGUCUACUGCAUGUUGAAAUGCUCAGCUGAAUUUAGACAUGGACUAUACAUUCAUCAACAGUUAUGGUGACUUAUUUGUAUAAUCUAUUCAUCUCCUUUGCGGAGAGUAUGUAGCCUAUAUGCUACAUCAAGUUUGCAAUACGAUGAUAACUGAACAGGUUAAAAAAAAACCCACAAGUUAUGAGCAACCAGAUGGCAAAAGAACGUUCUUAAAGUGCCUCACUUUCUUUUGAACCACUUCCAUUACAAUUUACCCAAUGUCGUAUUUUCAGUGCUAUGGUUUCCAGAUGGUAAAGACUAAACUCUUUUGAGAUAAUAGUUUCAAAUUCAGUACACAGCUGUAUUUUGUGAUUCACUAUUUGUGGGCAUGGUGCCUUUUGUGGCAGGAACUUUACAACUCUUUCUCAGUCACACUGUCUACUUAGUGUGUGACAUUCAAAUGACAAGUAAAAAACGCAAUAUAAAUAUUUUCCACGAUUGUGUAUUUUACACCCGCUUCAUGAAGUUGUACCUGUA
This is a long non-coding RNA of Acipenser ruthenus (sterlet), 1881 nucleotides long. RefSeq lists it as uncharacterized. NCBI's taxonomy places the organism in Eukaryota, Metazoa, Chordata, Actinopteri, Acipenseriformes, Acipenseridae. The record is from RefSeq and is a predicted model, not a curated record. The transcript has 3 exons.